GACGAACGCUGGUGGCGUGCUUAACACAUGCAAGUCGAACGGAAAGGCCCUGCUUUUGUGGGGUGCUCGAGUGGCGAACGGGUGAGUAACACGUGAGUAACCUGCCCUUGACUUUGGGAUAACUUCAGGAAACUGGGGCUAAUACCGGAUAGGAGCUCCUGCUGCAUGGUGGGGGUUGGAAAGUUUCGGCGGUUGGGGAUGGACUCGCGGCUUAUGAGCUUGUUGGUGGGGUAGUGGCUUACCAAGGCUUUGACGGGUAGCCGGCCUGAGAGGGUGACCGGCCACAUUGGGACUGAGAUACGGCCCAGACUCCUACGGGAGGCAGCAGUGGGGAAUAUUGCACAAUGGGCGGAAGCCUGAUGCAGCAACGCCGCGUGCGGGAUGACGGCCUUCGGGUUGUAAACCGCUUUCGCCUGUGACGAAGCGUGAGUGACGGUAAUGGGUAAAGAAGCACCGGCUAACUACGUG
RNAcentral lists this ribosomal RNA (468 nucleotides) under uncultured bacterium. RNAcentral's name for it is "partial 16S ribosomal RNA". It matches the Rfam family "Bacterial small subunit ribosomal RNA", at positions 28 to 507 of the family's 1533-position model. The record is from RNAcentral.